This 530-nucleotide long non-coding RNA is filed under the name Ananas comosus (pineapple). RNAcentral's name for it is "long non-coding RNA (ACOM_LNC013002)". Lineage: Eukaryota; Viridiplantae; Streptophyta; Magnoliopsida; Poales; Bromeliaceae. The record is from RNAcentral.
UCAUCCAUAUAUAUAUAUAGAUAUAGUCCGGCUGGGAUACUAUCGAUAGCAUCAAGUGUUUGGUGCUAUCGAGUUUUCCGCCGUUAAAUUUAACCAUUUAACUAUUUUCACCCAUUAGAUUAUACUAUUAAACCAGUAACUCACUCAACCCUGGGGGCUCACAUCAUCCUAACAGUACAUUUUUUCAUUCAAGGACUGAAAACCUAAUAGUACCAGUAACUUUGUGCUAUUGAUAGUGUUCCAGUCUAGUUCUAUAUAUAUAUAUAGAGAGAGAGAUCAGAGAGAGAGAGAGAGAGUUGGGCUGGAAUAUUAUUGAUAGUAUUUUAUUCCUUUUGCUAUCAAGUUUUUAACACUUGAAUGAAAAAUUAUAAGGUUAAAAUAAUAUUAGUCCGUUAGAAUUGAGUAGUCCCCAUUGAAUAUAAUAUUUGAUCCAAUGAUUAGGAAUGAUUCAAAGAAUUGAUCCAAAGGCUAUUCUAGCCCAACGCUCUCCCUCUCUCUAUAUAUAUGUAUAUAAAUAUAUAUACUUUUAA